CCUUCUUCCUCCCUCUCUUAGGGACGAUUUCUAAACCCUUUGGGUUUCUAAAAUUGACCAUUCUCCUAAUUAUUUUUAUUCCACUUUUUGGUUUCAUUGGGUAUAAUACCAUUAGAGAGAUUUUGGUUUGGGUCCUCUUAUCCAAACAACUUCAUGAAGGAUCAAGAUCUCAAGUAUGGAGAUCAAGAGCUACAUAAGAUGUCACCAGUAGACAGGUACGAUGACCAGGUUUUGAGAAGACGGAGCAUAGACAAGACUCGUCUUUUAUUUUGAUUACAUAUUUUGGUGUCUUAUAACUAUCAAAGAACACACAUGUAUUAAAACUUUACUUUUAUUGCAAUGGAUGAUGUUGUUUCUUGUU
Non-coding RNA from Lactuca sativa (garden lettuce), 361 nucleotides. Lineage: Eukaryota; Viridiplantae; Streptophyta; Magnoliopsida; Asterales; Asteraceae. The record is from RefSeq and is a predicted model, not a curated record.